UCCGGUUGAUCCUGCCGGAGGCUACCGCUAUUGGAGUUCGAUUAAGCCAUGCGAGUCGAGAGUCUUAGGGACUCGGCAUACCGCUCAGUAACACGUGGGUAACCUGCCCUAUGCUGGGGGAUAACCUCGGGAAACUGAGAAUAAUACCCCAUAGUUCACCACGCCUGGAACGGUGGGUGGACCAAAGCUCCGGCGGCAUAGGAUGGGCCUGCGACGUAUCAGGUUGUAGGGGGUGUAACGUACCCUCUAGCCAUCAACGCGUACGGGUGUUGGGAGACAUAGCCCGGAGAUGGAUUCUGAGACACGAAUCCAGACCCUACGGGGUGCAGCAGGCGCGAAAUCUUGGCAAUGCGAGCAAUCGUGACCAGGGAACUCCAAGUGGCUGGGGUAAGACCCAGUUUUUUCUUGACUCUUCAAAGGUCUUGGAAUAAGGGGUGGGUAAGGACGGUGCCAGCCGCCGCGGUAAUACCGGCGCCUCAAGUGGUAGUCGCUUUUAUUGGGCCUAAAACGUCCGUAGCCGGUCUGGUACAUUCGUGGGUAAAUCAACCCGCUCAACGGGUUGAAUUCUGCGAGCACGGCCAGACUUGGGACCGGGAGAGGUGUGGGGUACUCUCAGGGUAGGGGUAAAAUCCUGUCAUCCUGAGAGGACCACCUGUUGCGAAGGCGCCACACUAGAACGGAUUCGACGGUCAGGGACGAAACCUAGGGGCACGAACCGGAUUAGAUACCCGGGUAGUCCUAGGUGUAAACGCUGUGGACUUGAUGUUGGGGGCGCUCCGAGCGCUUUCAGUGUCGAAGCGAAGGUGAUAAGUCCACUGCCUGGGGAGUACGGUCGCAAGGCUGAAACUUAAAGGAAUUGGCGGGGGAGCACUGCAACCUGAGGAUUGUGCGGUUUAAUUGGAUUCAACGCGGGA
This 914-nucleotide ribosomal RNA is filed under the name uncultured marine archaeon. Its description in RNAcentral is "bacterial SSU rRNA". It matches the Rfam family "Archaeal small subunit ribosomal RNA", at positions 1 to 922 of the family's 1478-position model. The record is from RNAcentral.